This 768-nucleotide unclassified non-coding RNA is filed under the name plant metagenome. Its description in RNAcentral is "partial contains small subunit ribosomal RNA and internal transcribed spacer 1". The stretch from base 32 to 406 matches the Rfam family "Group I catalytic intron". The record is from RNAcentral.
AAGUCGUAACAAGGUUUCCGGGUCCCCCGGGGCGCCUGGGUGAUUCCAGCGAUCCUUCUGUGGGAUAUCUACCGAAGCCUGUGCAACCUAGAAAUAGGUGGUGCCGCGACUCUAAAGAAGGCCCUUAUGCAAGUCAGCUCGCUGGCUACACGACCGAAUUGACGGGGAUACCCUAAAGCCCACACGACCAACCCGGGAAAGAAAAUCGAUCGGGGGGCCUAUAUUAACCGUAUAGGGUAUGGUAAUAGUGUGUUGGGAUACGCUGAAUCUCUUUUUCGGCACGUGGGCAAUCCGCAGCGAAUCCCUAAGUACUUUGUAUAUGGGAGGCGUUCACAGACUAAGUGGUUGUGGGUAAGGCUUCAAUGCCCUAUUUCAGAUAUAGUCGGGCCCUGGGAGAAAUCUCGGGGGUUACCUGUUCCGUAGGUGAACCUGCGGAAGGAUCAUUAAUAAUUGGGCCACUGGUCGUGGGAAUUAGCGAAGGCUGAAAUGCUGGAGUGAAAUGAACCCCACAGAGACGCUGUAAUGUAACCGAUUAGGGUGGUUAUCCAGGAUUAGGGGCGACUAGGUUUGGGGGGAAAUUCCUCCGAAAACCCCGAAGCUGGUGAACCAACUUGACUUGAUUUAUUAUAGGCGAUCCAACAUUCUUGUUUAAUAUACCUUAGUUGCUUUGGCAGGCCACAGUUUACUGUGUAGGCCUUAGCUUACCGUGCUUGUCAGAGGCCUAAAAUCUGUAGCUAGUGAUGUCUGAGUAUUAUUUAAUAGUUAAAA